Long non-coding RNA from Mirounga angustirostris (Northern elephant seal), 3681 nucleotides. RefSeq lists it as uncharacterized. The record is from RefSeq and is a predicted model, not a curated record. The transcript has 3 exons. NCBI's taxonomy places the organism in Eukaryota, Metazoa, Chordata, Mammalia, Carnivora, Phocidae.
GUCCCAAGUCGGGCUCCCUGCUCAGCAGAGAGCCUGCUUCUCCUUCUCCCUCUGACCCUCCCCACUCGUGCUCUCUCUCUCUCUCUCUCAAAUACAUAAAAUCUUAAAAAAAAGAACUAGCUUUUAUGCAUAUAUGUACCAGCCACAAUACUGGGUAUAUUUAGCGCUUUUAACAUUUCCAGUUGAUCCACACUAUUACUCUCCCCAUUUUAAAGAUGACAAGCUGGAUGUUAAUAUUCAGCAGCUGAAUAUUAACUGAGUAUUGAGUCAGGAUUUCUACUCGGUACCGGCUGGGUUUUCAGUUACAAUACACGACGAGCAUUCUUCACUGGGCGACUGGUCCCAGCCAAUGACGAUUUAUGUCAUUUACUGAUUCCAUAGACAUUUCCCGUAAAUCAUUUUAUGUAUAAGGUAACUUGGGGAAGGAGGAAAGAGAAAGUAAUUCAGAUGCAGAAAGACAUGGGUUUGAGACCACGUGAAAUCCACGAGCCCAAACUCUUCCCUCUGUAAGUAGUGAUUUCUUCCUUCAGUAUCCGCCGGCCGUGCAGGUGGCCACGGUCCUGUGAGGGUGAGUGCCGCCACCCCCCAUCCCCGACCCCGCGGUGGGUCUCGCGGAGCACCGCAUGAUGCCAAUCUAGUUACCACAGUGACCAGGACUGACACGUUUAUCCAUCUCCCAUUUUAAAAUUUUAUUAUGGAAGAUAACACAAGAAUUUUAUGUCUUUUCGGAUCCAGAAAAACCAUCAGAAAUCACUUUUCAGAGAACGGGUAAUAAGACAACAAUGAAUUUGUCCCCUUGAUCCCACGUGACUUGGAGCUUUAAUGGUCUUCAGGAAAUGCUCAGCAAACUUUCCUUUUGAAUCAUUCACAGCCAUUUUAGAUGAUAAAAUUUAAAACUUUCUAUUAUGGAGACUAGUGAAGUUAGUAUAAGAUACGGUUAAUACAGUUAAGAAGAUGGUAUAAGGACCCCGUCUAUCGCCAUCUAGUGUCGACAAGUAACAAAUACGUUUAUAAGCCACUGAUGCUCCCAGAUGACAUUAUUUCACGCCCAUAUAAUUAUGCGAUUAAUGUUUCAUAAGCCCUGAAACUGUAUCUCAGGCCUGAUGGCCCUGUGCAUUUCCUUAUCUCUCUAAAAUAGGAGGGUUCUGUUUUUCUCCCCUUGAGUGUCAAGGAGUUUUUAAGAGUAAAAAGUAAAGGGUGAGUAAGAAAUACAACUGAAUUGAAACUUGUUAUUUCCACCUAAAAACAUAUUAAGCUGUUUUCAAUAAGAAAAAAAAUUCCCUUGGGGCGCCUGGGUGGCUCAGUCGUUAAGCGUCUGCCUUCGGCUCAGGUCAUGAUCCCAGGCUCCCGGGAUCGAGUCCCGCAUCGGGCUCCCUGCUCAGCGGGGUGCCUGCUUCUUUCUCCCUCUGCCUCUGCCUCUCUCUCUCUGACUCUCAUGAAUAAAUAAAUAAAACAUUCAAAAAAAAAAAAGAAAAGAAAAAAAAAUCCCUUUUAAAAAGAGGAUACUCAUGUUUCUGAUUUUCUGAUACAUUUUUUUCCUAACGAAGGCUGGUUUCUUUUUAAGAUAUAAAACCCGUUUGGUUUUAUCUUUGAGAAAUAAACGGUAUUUUUGACUUGCUGAGAAUUUUCUUAAAAAUGAAAAUAACCAUGUUUUGGUUACACAGCAGUAGGUGUUAGUUUUAAAAAUAUCUCGACAAUAUAUACAAAUAUGAAGGCCAUCUACAAUCAAUCAUAUGCUGUGAGAAAAACACCGUGCGUGACCUCAUGGUUCCCUUUUAUGCAUAUGCACUUUUCAAUUUUAUUGUUUUAUUUUCCUUCCAUCCUCUUCCCACCCAGGUAACCAAUGGCAACAAACUGGUAGGUGUCGCUCCCUAGCGUUCUCCAUUUUAUCAUAUUGUGUGUGUGUAUACAAAUUUAAUGAGUUUUUAAUACCUUUAAUUAUUUGAACAGAGCAUGCAUAAUACAUUCAUCUGGCCCCAAAAUGAAGGAGCACUCCAAGGCAGACUGGUGAAAAGUCACCCCCUCCGUGCAGCUCCAGCCUCUCCCCAGUGGUGCUGAAUGCUAUUCCACCCUCUGGAUGGACCAGUGGACCAAAGUUGCAACUCCUUUGUUGUAAAUACCAUGGAGCACAAUUGCUGGAUCCUGUACUAAGAGAGAGACGGAACACAAGCAGGGGGAGUGGGAGAGGGAGAAGCAGGCUCUCCGCGGAGCAGGGAGCCCAAUGCAGGGCUCGAUCCCAGGACCCUGGGACCAUGACCCUGGGACCAUGACCCUGGGACCAUGACCUGAGCCAAAGGCAGACGCUUAACGACUGAGCCACUCAGGCGCCCCUAAGGUAUGUUAGUUUUGUCAGCAACCACCCAACUGUCUUGCAAAGAGGUUGCUCGAGUUUGCAUUUGCCCCUGCUGUGGAGAAGACUUCCGUUGCCUUGGAUCAUGCUGGGAAGUCCUAGUCGUCUGAGCCGUAGUCACUGCUCAGCAAAGCAGUUUUGUUAAAUUACAUUUCCUUUGGAAAAUAAAUACUUCACUGAGAUCUGCUUUAUUUCCAUACAUUUAAGCAAAUUGUUCUCUCCAAUUUAAUUUUCUUUCUGCAGUUAAUUCUCCUUUAUCAUUUAUUUUACAUUUGAACAUUCUCUUACUGUUCUUAGGUUGAAAAAUAGAGGUUCUUAAGAUUGCUCUCACAUUUUUUAUGUUUAAUACCCCCCCUCCCUCUUCAUUAGUUCCUUUCUUCUUUACUUGGAACUGUUGGGAUCCUUUUCUAAUUUCUUUAAUUUCAGCCUUAAACAUUUGAAAACAUUAAUUCUUAUUUGUUAACAAAUUACAUUAGACCACACACUUUUAUCUGACCAAUGCUUUGCUUAUUUGAGCUGCUUCUGUAUCAAAGUGUCACUUUCUACGUAACGUGAAAUUUUAUUUUAUGUGCUCUUUCAAUAUUCAGGAUAGGUUUUCAAACAGUUCCCAAAUGGUGUGUUUUGCUUCACCCCCAGCUUCACUGAGCUGUAACUGACACACCGCACUGCCUAAGUCUGAGGUGUCCAGCGCAUGACUGAGCGGGCCGGUAUGUUGUGAAACGGGGAGCAGUCACCCCACGUGAUUACCAUUUGUUGUUGUUGCUAUGGCGACAACAUCCAGGAUCUACCCUCUCAGCAACUUUCGAGGACACAGCGCAUUGUUGCGUGUUGUCACAUGCUGUACACUGGAUGGCCGGGACUUACUGUCCCUACCCCGGGAGUGGGGACUGUGUGCCCUCUGACCUGCGCCCCCUGCCGCGCCCCCCCGCCCCCCCGCCCGCAGUGGUCACUCUUCUCCUCUUUGUUCCUCACUACAUUCUUCUAUUUGCAAAGCUGUCCUUUCUCCUAGUCCUCCAGUGAGACACACUUUAAAAUUCAUCUUCUACUUUUAACUUUCUCCAUGUGUAUCCCUUUAGACAGAUGGGAUGUUUUUCUCCAUUUUACGUUUUAGUUGGUUAUGGGUAACAUACAGAAAAAACAGUGGUUUUUUUUAGUGGUAGUUAUCUUGAAUCCCACUGCUUUAACACACUCAUUUGACACAUCUUUUGCUUUUUCUGGGUACUCAGUCACAUUUAGCAAAAAGAGACUGUAUUAUGAUGUUCCUAAUAUUUAUAUUGAUUUUUUUUGUUUUCUAUUUUUGGAUCUGCUGGAAACACUAAUAAAUUUGGACA